Molecule: long non-coding RNA, 861 nt
Organism: Tarenaya hassleriana
Lineage: Eukaryota; Viridiplantae; Streptophyta; Magnoliopsida; Brassicales; Cleomaceae
Exons: 2
Source: RefSeq, a predicted model, not a curated record
CUUCGUUCCGAAGCUUUACGAAAUGACCGGUGAAGGCUUCACACAGCACAACAACACAGCGGCAAACAACAACAAACAUCGAAACAAAGCACAGAAACUGAUACACGCAGUUUCGAGUUCCCAUGGCCAUGGCCCAUGGAGAUGGAGCCUUCGUAGUUUUGUCUCUCUUCUCCAUUGCGUUUUCGGAUAUUCCCUCUCAUCGAUUUUAAAAAAACAAACAAACAAGAAAUCUGUCACUAAAAAUAAGAGAGAGAACAAUCCAAGCAUCAGACCAUCUUCCGCCAUCCCGCCCAUCAAAUCUCGUCCCCUUGAUCCUUCUUUUUCUGGGAUUUUUCAGCAAAUGAUUCUGAUCUCGUGAAGGACCCGAGAUUGAUCUGAGCCUGUUUCUGGGUUCAGUAAAAGCCAUGCCAAUCCGCCGUAGCAGCCGCGGUGGCGAAAGAGGCAAGGCAGGGAGAAAAGAGAGAGAAUCGACAAGGAAACACGAGCAUUGUUCUUGUUGGCAACCACCUUCCAUGGUUAGAGGUAUGGGGAGAUUCUUCUUCGUGGGCUGUUACCCUGUAAUCCGCUGUUUCGGAUUGGACGAAAGACGUCAUCGUCACCACAUUCACCAUAAACAUUUCUCCUGAUUCUCUGGUUAUUGAUUCUUGGAUUUGAUUCAACAUUUGUGUAUAUAUAUGUGUACAUACUAUGUGAGAUUGGUAAUACCCCUAUUGUCACGCCACGGACAACAUCAUCAGGACGGUAUUUAUAGGCAUGUGAAAGGUUUCUUGAUUUCUGAAAACUUGUAAAGCAGAUCCCUUUUUGAUUUCUUGAAAUCGAAGGAGGUAAAGGACAAUAAUUUAUCUGAGAUUACAAGAUUUC